RNAcentral lists this microRNA (22 nucleotides) under Ciona intestinalis (vase tunicate). RNAcentral describes it as "cin-miR-200-3p". Its record names the gene cin-miR-200-3p. Lineage: Eukaryota; Metazoa; Chordata; Ascidiacea; Phlebobranchia; Cionidae. The record is from miRBase by way of RNAcentral.
UAAUACUGCCUGGUAAUGGUGA